AACGAACGCUGGCGGCAUGCCUAACACAUGCAAGUCGAACGAGACCUUCGGGUCUAGUGGCGCACGGGUGCGUAACGCGUGGGAACCUGCCCUUAGGUUCGGAAUAACUCCCCGAAAGGGGUGCUAAUACCGGAUAAUGUCUUCGGACCAAAGAUUUAUCGCCUUUGGAUGGGCCCGCGUUGGAUUAGCUAGUUGGUAGGGUAAAAGCCUACCAAGGCGACGAUCCAUAGCUGGUCUGAGAGGAUGAUCAGCCACACUGGGACUGAGACACGGCCCAGACUCCUGCGGGAGGCAGCAGUGGGGAAUAUUGGACAAUGGGCGAAAGCCUGAUCCAGCAAUGCCGCGUGAGUGAUGAAGGCCUGAGGGUUGUAAAGCUCUUUUACCCGGGAUGAUAAUGACAGUACCGGGAGAAUAAGCUCCGGCUAACUCCGUG
Molecule: ribosomal RNA, 433 nt
Filed under: uncultured bacterium
Lineage: Bacteria
Description: partial 16S ribosomal RNA
Rfam family: Bacterial small subunit ribosomal RNA
Source: RNAcentral